GAAAAAGUGGCUCAGUCGGUUAGAGGUACGGCUACCACCCACAAGACCGGGGUUCGACCCCCGCCGUGGCU
Non-coding RNA from Caenorhabditis elegans, 71 nucleotides. Lineage: Eukaryota; Metazoa; Nematoda; Chromadorea; Rhabditida; Rhabditidae. The record is from the annotation of a RefSeq genome assembly.